Molecule: ribosomal RNA, 468 nt
Filed under: uncultured bacterium
Lineage: Bacteria
Description: partial 16S ribosomal RNA
Rfam family: Bacterial small subunit ribosomal RNA
Source: RNAcentral
GACGAACGCUGGCGGCGUGCUUAACACAUGCAAGUCGAACGGAAAGGCCCUGCUUUUGUGGGGUGCUCGAGUGGCGAACGGGUGAGUAACACGUGAGUAACCUGCCCUUGACUUUGGGAUAACUUCAGGAAACUGGGGCUAAUACCGGAUAGGAGCUCCUGCUGCAUGGUGGGGGUUGGAAAGUUUCGGCGGUUGGGGAUGGACUCGCGGCUUAUCAGCUUGUUGGUGGGGUAGUGGCUUACCAAGGCUUUGACGGGUAGCCGGCCUGAGAGGGUGACCGGCCACCUUGGGACUGCGAUACGGCCCAGACUCCUACGGGAGGCAGCAGUGGGGAAUCUUGCACAAUGGGCGGAAGCCUGAUGCAGCAACGCCGCGUGCGGGAUGACGGCCUUCUGGUUGUAAACCGCUUUCGCCUGUGACGAAGCGUGAGUGACGGUAAUGGGUAAAGAAGCACCGGCUAACUACGUG